CGAGUAGGCGGCCAGUUGUGUCAGAUGUGAAAGGCUAGGGCUUAACCCUAGCAGCGCAUUUGAAACUGACUGGCUUGAGUGUAGGAGAGGGAAGCGGAAUUCCUAGUGUAGCGGUGAAAUGCGUAGAUAUUAGGAGGAACACCAGUGGCGAAGGCGGCUUCCUGGCCUAUAACUGACGCUGAUGCGCGAAAGCGUGGGGAGCAAACA
RNAcentral lists this ribosomal RNA (207 nucleotides) under uncultured bacterium. RNAcentral's name for it is "partial 16S ribosomal RNA". It matches the Rfam family "Bacterial small subunit ribosomal RNA", at positions 568 to 774 of the family's 1533-position model. The record is from RNAcentral.